AUGUUUCGUGGUUUUCACCAUCCCGGAGAACUUCCUCGGGGCCCUGCUCCCUUAGGCUACCCACCCCAUGUACAGCCACCCGGUCCCAGCUACGGAGGGCCCUUUGGCCCGCCACCCCACGUUCCAAUGCCUGGACACUUACCUCCUGGAUCUUGUCAUCCUUUCUUACCUCCCGGAUCGGGAAGUGAAUACCUCCACAGGCCCAUGAGGGAACAUUAUAUCAAUACUCCACACUGCAGCAGUUACUCCAUUGACCGCAGCACAGUGAUCAGUCUGGGUGGUCAACAGAUUCUCCCACCAGACACACAGCAUCUUCAGAUGCCACAGUGGCCCGCCAAUCCUUUGGAAUCAUGUCAAAGAGACAAGAGUGAGAACUUGACAGCUGGGGAAGAAUUCCUCAGAUGCCUUGCAGCUAAUAAGCCAGUCCCUGACUUCCUCAAAGGAGUCAACCUGUUGGACGCAGGGAAGGCAGUCAAGGCUCCAGGUGUACCAGAAGACCGGGGUUAUGAGAGGCAGAGACUCCGGAGCAAAUCUCGCAGUCCAGCGAAGGAAAGCAGGGGCAGGAGUAAGAGCCGAGCAAAGAGCCAGGUAAGAAGCAAGAGCCGGGCAAGAAGCAAGAGCUGUCCGCGCAGCAGAAGUCGUACCCGAGGGAAAAGCCGGGCAAGAAGCAAAAGCCGACCACGAAGCAGGAGUCGCAGUCGUGGAAAGAGCCAGGUCAGAAGCAAGAGCAAGGCUCGUAGUAGGAGCCGGAGCCGAGGGAAAAGUCGGGUGAGAAGCAAAAGCAGAUCAAGGAGUAGGAGUCGCAGCUAUGGAAAGAGCCGGGGCAGAGUGGACCAUCAUUCAGACCACAGGGACAAAAGGAGCCCCAUUCGGAGCUGUAGCAGCAGGAUCAGUAAUCACUCCUCCGUACACAAUGACCUGCUCGAGGGCCUGAAACAAGUUAUGAACAGCAAGCAACUGGAGGACAGUAUGCCUUCCAUCAAGAAUGCCAUUCUCACAAUACAGGCCAAUAACUUUAGCAGAGAUAUCCAGAGCAGCAGAGCAAUCCAGAGCAACUGUCUUCCAUGUGGACCAGUCUUGGCCAGCAGACAGGAAUUUCUUCAAGCCUCAGAUGGGCCCAAGCCAGUCAGCAGACAGGAGGAGACCGACAGCAAUCUUCUCCCCCACGAGAGAGUGGGCUGUGACUUCUCCUGGCUGCAGGGCACCAGGGAGGUCUCGCCUGUUCAGAAGCUGGAGGAGGUUGAGGAUGAGGAGAACUUCCUCUAUGGGAAUGAGGAUAACCAGUCAAAACAACGCCCUGCCACCCUGCCUUUUGCACCGUCCACAUCCAUUACCCAGCAGAGCGGUGCAGAGAUCUCCCCAGCAGGCCCACCCUACUAUCAAAGCCAGCCUCUGUUCGGGAACCAUAGUGAAGUCCUGGAGUUCAAGAUGCCUCCUCAACCGGUCCAGUCCAGUGUGAGGCCUGAGCAGAGGGUGCAGCCUGUUCCUGAUGUGAGGCCCGCCCCCACUGUGAAGGAAUGUGAGGAGUUCAAGACCAUGUUGAAGAACAUUGGACUGAAUCUGGGCACAUCAGAGAUCAGUAAGAUGAUGGUCAAGCUGCAGCAACAGAAGGAGGGGAAGGUGCCAGAGCAGAAGAGGGAGGAGAAAGUGCCAUCACCAGCACCAGUGCUGCCUCUUCCUCUUGUAAUUGGGGCAUCACAGGAGCCCAGACUGGCCUCGCCAGCACUCGGGGCAGCACUUGGGACAGCACCAAUACGACAAGCAUUGGAGUCAUUACAGUUCAUUAUUAAAGCAACAAGGGAGAAAAGGGCCAAUAGUGAUCCACAUGAUGGCAACCAUUCCCAAAGGAAUUCAGACAAACAGAAGGUAACAUUUACUCGGCAGUGUCAUUCCAAUCACACUCUUUUUUUUUUCUCUGAGACACACCUCACUAUUACUGAUGAUAAUUACUCCUGAUGUUUGUUGUGUCACAGCAUGUUGUGAUGUCUAAACUAGAAAACACUGCAUUUUAACAUUGUGAUGAAAUGGGACUUUCUAGAGCAAAGAUGACGAGGAGAGUCAGAGGAGAUCGAGACAUGACCAAAUGAAAAGGAAAGAAACUCUUGUGAAGGAACUGGAGGAAUUGCUAAAGCAGGAUGGUAUAGUAUUGUUCAUUAUAGACCUGUCUUUCUAACCAGUCUUUCUCUAUCUACAUAAUAUAAAUGACUGGUAGGCCAUCAUUGUAAAUAAGAAUUUGUUCUUAACUGACUUGCCUUGUUAAAUAUAAAUAAAUAUAAGCAUUAUUUUUGUUGCCAUCAUUACUUGGUAAUAGAAUGACACCUAAAUGCCUUUUCAUUCGUAUAUUCAGGGUCUACCUUUUUGAUUCCGGUCAUCGGGUUCUACUGUCAGAGGUGUGAGGAGUUCUUCGGAGACCUGACCACUGCUGAGGACCAUGCAGCAACCCACCGGCAGAAUGAGCCUAGCAUGGCAUGUACCUAGCUACAUUGUCUCGCCCCACACAGUAACCCAACUGCAUACACUGCAUUGACCAACGAAACAGCAUAGUUAAACCAUUACGUUGUUCAACCUAGAUCACCCCUCAGUAUAAACUUUAGGUUCCUUUCCAGUCCACUUGUCUUCAGCAUCCAUAGAAAAGUCAAAUUCCCCAAAAGAUUUGUGGUAUUAUAAUCCCAAACUGUAUCUACUUGUUUCACCUUGUCUAUAGCAGCAGCAUGGAGACAGACGACCUGGAGAGGACCGAAGACACCCUAGUCAUUACAUCGGGCACCCCCUGGGUCCAGAGUGGAGGGACCAGGGAGACCCAAGAGAUCAGAGGUAUCGCAAACUAGACGAGGGCCCAAAGGGUUACAGGAACGACAGGGAGAAGAUCUACGUAAAAGAGGAACGCCCUGGAAGCCCCAGGAUAAAGAUGCAGAUGGUCCGCGGGCACACCCCACCAGGUCUGCAGAAGGCCAGGGGGAGAGAGGAGGGGAGGGUGGAUAAGGGCUCUUGUGCUGCUUCCUCUGGCCAUGCCAGUGGGAAAUAUGGUAGGGUCAAACUUGAGGUAGUGGAGACCAAAGGAAAGCCCAACGUGGAAGUAUGUGACAAAAAGGACAAAGAUAAAGGAGAAAGCAGUUCUAAUAGUGAUGACGAGAAAGACAAAUCUCCUAAAGGCAACAAAAAGAAAAAGAAGAAGGAGAAAAAGAAGAAGGAAAAGAAGAAGAAGAAGAAGGAAAAGGGUUAGAAGUAAUAGCUGCUGUACUGCAUGUCCUGGUUUGAUUGUACUGUAUCUCUGGAGGACCUGGCCUUGGGUCAUUGUUUGGCAUCAUUGCAGCUGUUUUCAGAAGUUGGUGCUUUUAAUGUUAAAAAGAAGCAGUACUCCUCUGAUUCGUUCUCUCCUUUUGGGGUUGUCUUGUUUUUCAGCAAACUGCGUUCCUCUGUGUUGUAGUGGAUAACAGCACAUUGAAUGCUGUUGGAGGACAGGCCGUUCCAGGGUGCAUAUGCAGCAUUUAUGAUGUCCAGAAUUGUUUUGCUGCCAGCUACUGAUCCUAUUGUUCAGACCUUUAGUUACUGUAGAUGUUUAUUAAAUAACCCUCUUUAUAUUGGGCCAUGUUUGUGUAUAUUUCACCCGGUACAACCUUGAUUUAGUGCUUUGAGUGUUAUCAAAUGUACUUUUUGCAUUUAAAGGUCAACUGCCAUUUGAAGCGUGUGCUGUCUUUCUUCCUAAUGUUAAACCGAUGAGAUGGAAUUGUUCUGUAAUGAAGACAUUUUUAUGCAUUGUCCUCUUAUAAUAUGUCUCAGCAAUUGAUGGCGCAAGGCUAUUUGCAAGCGCACAUGAUCUUGCCAAAGUCAUUGGAUCCUAUCAGGAUAGGAACAGUUGACAUAUUUUUGUAAGGUGAUCACUUUUUUUUCUGAUUAUAUACAUUGUUUUUGUCUGCUGUUGCUUACUCUGACUUCCUUUUUCUCACACAUUAGGCAUUUCCAUUGAUCCAGGUUUAUUUGACAAAAGCAAUGUCAGAAACGGCAGAUAUGAGACAUUUUUAUCCGUUCAAUAGGCUUCUAUUUUUCUUUUGUUGAACUUUCUUUACUGCAACUAAUGAGGGAAACUACUUUUAACUACUUUUAAGGUAUGCUGGGCAUGUGAUGUCAUCACAUAACUUUAGGCUGCACUCCUAAAUGCCUACUGCUUGCAAAAUAAGUUUUCAUUUUGAGCUAACAUGGAAUUGUUUUAAGAUGGUCAUACCAUGGAUCAUUUAGCUAUUUGAUUUUGAAUUUUAUGACCCCUUUGGGUAUCAAAAAUAUUUAGUGAUUUGAUAAAAUAUUUAAUUUCACCUCUACUAUAGCACAUAGAAACGCAUUAAAUAACACAUUAAUAAAUGUCAUAAAAGACAGUAAAAAAAUAGAUCACAUGGAAUAAGGUUUUAAAGUGUCUGUCCUAGAUAUACGAAAGCUCAAGAAAUAGUUCAGUUUAGAAAGUAUUCAUUCCCCUUGACUUAUUCCACAUUUUGUUGUGCCUGAAUUAAACAAAACUAAAAAUUCUCACCCAUCUACACACAAUACCCCAUACUGACAAAGUGAAAACAUGUUUUUAGAAAUGUGCAAAUUUAUUGAAAAUGAAAUACAGAAAUGUCUCAUUUACAUGCACUACAGUUCAAAAGUUUGGGGUCACUUAGAAAUGUCCUUGUUUUUAAAAAGCACUUUUUUGUCCAUUAAAAUAACAUCAAAUUGAUCCGAAAUACAAUGUAGACAUUGUUCAUGUUGUAAAUGACUAUUGUAGCUGGAAACGGCAGAUUUUUAAUGAAAUAUCUACAUAGGCGUACAGAGGCCCAUUAUCAGCAACCAUCACUCCUGUGUUCAAAUGGCACGACUCCAGGAUGCUGGCCUUCUAGGCAGAGUUCCUCUGCCCAGUGUCUUGUUUUUCCUAUCUUAAUCUUUUCUUUUUAUUUGCCAGUCUGAGAUAUGGAUUUUUCCUUGCAUUUCUGCCUAGGCCAUCAUCCCUGAGUCGCCUCUUCACUGUUGACGUUGAGACUGGUGUUUUGCGGGUACUAUUUAAUGAAGCUGCUAGUUGAGGACUUGUGAGGUGUCUGUUUCUCAAACUAGACACUAAUGUACUUGUCCUCUUGCUCAGUUGUGCAUUGGGGCCUCCCACUCCUUUCUAUUCUGGUUAGAGACCGUUUGCGCUGUUCUGUGAAAGGAGUAGUACACAGCGUUGUACGAGAUCUUCAGUUUCUUGGCAAUUUCUCGCAUGGAAUAGCCUUCAUUUUUCAGAACAAGAAUAGACUGAUGCGUUUCAGAAGAAAGUACUUUGUUUCUGGCCAUUUUGAGCCUGUAAUCGAACCCACAAAUGCUGAUGCAGAAGGCCAGUUUUAUUGCGUCUUUAAUCAGAACAACCGUUUUCAGCUGUACUAAUAUAAUUGCAAAAGGGUUUUCUAAUGAUCAAUUAGCCUUUUAAAAUGAUACACUUGGAUUAGCUAACACAAUGUGCCAUUGGAGCACUGGAGUGAUGGUUGCUGAUAAUGGGCAUCUGUACGCCUAUGUAGAUAUUUCAUAAAAAUCUGCUGUUUCCAGCUACAAUCGUCAUUUACAACAUUAACAAUGUCUACACUGUAUUUCUGAUCAAUUUGGUGUUAUUUUAAUUGACAAAAAAAUGUGCUUUUCUUUCAAAAAACGAGAACAUUUCUAAGUGUUUGAACGGUAGUCUAAGUAUUCACACCUGAGUCAAUACAUGUUAGAUUCACCUUUGGCACCGAUUACAGCUGUGAGUCUUUCUGGGUAAGUCUCUAAAGGCUUGUUCACAUAAACAAUUUGAAGUGACUCAUCUGUUCUUUUUCCUGCAGUCUGAACAGCCAAAAAGCACAUGGAAUUGGAUAUUUCAAGCCACACAAGGGUAGUAUUAAGUCAGAGAAAAAAAUGAUUCCUGGCCAUGUGACUUGUCUGAAUGGUCAAAUCUGAUUCAUUUCUGGUUUUUAGACUGCUAUUCAGCUUAUCUUGUUGCUUGUUUGCUACUCUGUUGACAGUUUGACAAGAACAUGUGGUAGCUAACUAGCUUGAUAAUUGUUUACAACAAAUUAGUGUGUGCUUUAUAGCUAAACCGCUGGCUAGCUAGUUUACUACUGUGGCUAACCAAAAAGGACUUGUUUUGAAAGUUGGAUCAUCUUAUCCUUUGAGGCUUUAAAAAUGUUCUUACCCUAUGAUUUUGAAGAUUCAAAGCAACUGGGAAAUGUCCAUGGCAGGCAUUGUUGUCAUGUUAACUUGCUCCAUAACUUUUGAGUGACAGGAAGCAAAAGCACCACCACCAAUCAGCCUGCACCACUGCACAC
This 6299-nucleotide long non-coding RNA is filed under the name Oncorhynchus mykiss (rainbow trout). RNAcentral describes it as "lncRNA (ENSOMYG00000055111.1)". Lineage: Eukaryota; Metazoa; Chordata; Actinopteri; Salmoniformes; Salmonidae. The record is from RNAcentral.